RNAcentral lists this ribosomal RNA (366 nucleotides) under uncultured bacterium. Its description in RNAcentral is "bacterial SSU rRNA". It matches the Rfam family "Bacterial small subunit ribosomal RNA", at positions 30 to 402 of the family's 1533-position model. The record is from RNAcentral.
AUUGAACGCUGGCGGAAUGCUUUACACAUGCAAGUCGAACGGUAGAGGGGGCAACCCCCUUGAGAGUGGCGAACGGGUGAGUAAUAUAUCGGAACGUGCCCAGUCGUGGGGAUAACGUAGCGAAAGUUACGCUAAUACCGCAUACGAUCUAAGGAUGAAAGCGGGGGAUCGCAAGACCUCGCGCGAUUGGAGCGGCCGAUAUCAGAUUAGGUAGUUGGUGAGGUAAAGGCUCACCAAGCCGACGAUCUGUAGCUGCUGAGAGGACGACCAGCCACACUGGGACUGAGACACGGCCCAGACUCCUACGGGAGGCAGCAGUGGGGAAUUUUGGACAAUGGGCGCAAGCCUGAUCCAGCAAUGCCGCGU